UGCAAACCCCUAAUUUUAGAUUUUGCCUUAUGGACCCAGCUCCUGGGACAACAAGGCUGCCUUCUCCAUCUGAUGUCAAACACCAAACUCACUCCGGCUUCAGCUGCAUGCAUGGCACACACACAUACACCCACUUAAAUGCAAAAUGGCACAGAAAUCAAGACGUUUGUAUGCCAGCACAGUAUAUGCCACUGCUUUAAGUAUGUGGCAACUUCCAAGUCAGACACGCCGCAAUGUAGACAACAUUCCUGGCUGCCUCUUCUUCACGAGAGAUGGGGGGAUAAAUUGGUUUUUCAGAUGCCACUGCUUCAUUCAGGCUGUGAGGCAUCCAAAUCAACGCUACUGAAAUCCUUUGAGGAAGUUUCUUAGUGCAGCACAUCAGAUGCAGCUGCUGGAAUUGGGAUGCAGUAGCUGGUUUGCGAUCCAGUGCUGGACAUCAUGAAUUUCAGAGUGGAAUGUUGUCUGAGAGAUGAAAGACUGCAGGAAUAAAAGAUUAAGGGCAAGAGGGUGUGAACUCAUCAAUAUUUGUACUUCUAGGGCACCUGAACCUUAGCCACACACUCCUGCAGCAUCACUGUAUGGCCCUUAAUGUAAACAGCACCUUUUUUUUUUCCUUUGCUGGGUGAAAAAUGGUGGUAAUUAUAUAAAAUUGCAUAGCCACCAAGAAUUUAAUUUUGUGCUUUAACAAUACAGAAAUUAGGCACCAGCACAGCUUCUCUAAAUGAGAUUCGCUUCAUUUCCCUGUCUCCUAGAC
This is a long non-coding RNA of Harpia harpyja (harpy eagle), 754 nucleotides long. RefSeq lists it as uncharacterized. The record is from RefSeq and is a predicted model, not a curated record. The transcript is spliced from 3 exons. NCBI's taxonomy places the organism in Eukaryota, Metazoa, Chordata, Aves, Accipitriformes, Accipitridae.